Molecule: ribosomal RNA, 899 nt
Filed under: Shigella sonnei
Lineage: Bacteria; Pseudomonadati; Pseudomonadota; Gammaproteobacteria; Enterobacterales; Enterobacteriaceae
Description: partial 23S ribosomal RNA
Rfam family: Bacterial large subunit ribosomal RNA
Source: RNAcentral
CACCCGAGACUCAGUGAAAUUGAACUCGCUGUGAAGAUGCAGUGUACCCGCGGCAAGACGGAAAGACCCCGUGAACCUUUACUAUAGCUUGACACUGAACAUUGAGCCUUGAUGUGUAGGAUAGGUGGGAGGCUUUGAAGUGUGGACGCCAGUCUGCAUGGAGCCGGCCUUGAAAUACCACCCUUUAAUGUUUGAUGUUCUAACGUGGACCCGUGAUCCGGGUUGCGGACAGUGUCUGGUGGGUAGUUUGACUGGGGCGGUCUCCUCCUAAAGAGUAACGGAGGAGCACGAAGGUUGGCUAAUCCUGGUCGGACAUCAGGAGGUUAGUGCAAUGGCAUAAGCCAGCUUGACUGCGAGCGUGACGGCGCGAGCAGGUGCGAAAGCAGGUCAUAGUGAUCCGGUGGUUCUGAAUGGAAGGGCCAUCGCUCAACGGAUAAAAGGUACUCCGGGGAUAACAGGCUGAUACCGCCCAAGAGUUCAUAUCGACGGCGGUGUUUGGCACCUCGAUGUCGGCUCAUCACAUCCUGGGGCUGAAGUAGGUCCCAAGGGUAUGGCUGUUCGCCAUUUAAAGUGGUACGCGAGCUGGGUUUAGAACGUCGUGAGACAGUUCGGUCCCUAUCUGCCGUGGGCGCUGGAGAACUGAGGGGGGCUGCUCCUAGUACGAGAGGACCGGAGUGGACGCAUCACUGGUGUUCGGGUUGUCAUGCCAAUGGCACUGCCCGGUAGCUAAAUGCGGAAGAGAUAAGUGCUGAAAGCAUCUAAGCACGAAACUUGCCCCGAGAUGAGUUCUCCCUGACCCUUUAAGGGUCCUGAAGGAACGUUGAAGACGACGACGUUGAUAGGCCGGGUGUGUAAGCGCAGCGAUGCGUUGAGCUAACCGGUACUAAUGAACCGUGAGG